AGUGAACGCUGGCGGUAGGCCUAACACAUGCAAGUCGAACGGCAGCACAGUAAGAGCUUGCUCUUACGGGUGGCGAGUGGCGGACGGGUGAGGAAUACAUCGGAAUCUACUUUUUCGUGGGGGAUAACGUAGGGAAACUUACGCUAAUACCGCAUACGACCUACGGGUGAAAGCAGGGGAUCUUCGGACCUUGCGCGAUUGAAUGAGCCGAUGUCGGAUUAGCUAGUUGGCGGGGUAAAGGCCCACCAAGGCGACGAUCCGUAGCUGGUCUGAGAGGAUGUGAACAGCCACAGGAGAUGAGACACGGGCUCGAGACCUAGGGGAGGGGCAGGAGGGGGAAAUUGGGCAAAAGGCGCAAACCUGUGACACACACACAGCGUGGGGGAGGAAGGCGUUCGGGUUGUGAAGACCUUUUGUGUGGAAAGAAAAGAAGAGGGUGAAAACACCGCGGUGCUGACGGUACACAAAAAAUAAGAACAGGCUAACUUCGUG
RNAcentral lists this ribosomal RNA (492 nucleotides) under uncultured bacterium. RNAcentral describes it as "partial 16S ribosomal RNA". It matches the Rfam family "Bacterial small subunit ribosomal RNA", at positions 30 to 507 of the family's 1533-position model. The record is from RNAcentral.